UACGAAGGGGGCUAGCGUUGCUCGGAAUCACUGGGCGUAAAGCGCACGUAGGCGGAUUGCUAAGUCAGGGGUGAAAUCCUGGAGCUCAACUCCAGAACUGCCUUUGAUACUGGCAACCUUGAGUCCGGGAGAGGUGAGUGGAACUGCGAGUGUAGAGGUGAAAUUCGUAGAUAUUCGCGAGAACACCAGUGGCGAAGGCGGCUCACUGGCCCGGUACUGACGCUGAGGUGCGAAAGCGUGGGGAGCAAACAGG
RNAcentral lists this ribosomal RNA (253 nucleotides) under uncultured bacterium. RNAcentral's name for it is "partial 16S ribosomal RNA". It matches the Rfam family "Bacterial small subunit ribosomal RNA", at positions 524 to 776 of the family's 1533-position model. The record is from RNAcentral.